This is a long non-coding RNA of Atta colombica, 428 nucleotides long. RefSeq lists it as uncharacterized. The transcript has 2 exons. Lineage: Eukaryota; Metazoa; Arthropoda; Insecta; Hymenoptera; Formicidae. The record is from RefSeq and is a predicted model, not a curated record.
CAGGGUGGAGGAAGAACUACGAGAAGGGUCUUACUUAUGGCGUUUUCUGAAAAUUGUCGCCAACAUGCGAUGCCGUGCACGCUCCACACAUGGCAUAUGACAGAUUUACCCCGCGCGAUGAAGAUUAAAAGGAUCCACAAGUCUUAAGAUCACAGCUGGAAGAUUAUCCUUGGAAGAGCUUUUUCCUGUAAUGAUGGCGAUUAUAUAAUUAAUCGAAUAAUAUGCAAAUUUCUUCGUAAUGAUAUCCGCCGGACUAUUAAUCAAAUUCUAGAUUAUCAGUUUCCAUCACGAAAAGAUGAAGAAAAAUUCAAUUAAUUGCGUAAUAUUAUGCAUUCGGAAAGUAUAUUAUUAUACAUUCCGAACGAAUGUCAUCAUGCAAUUGAUGAUUUUUUAAUAGACGAAAAUAUAUUAAUAAAAUAAUGUUUGUA